UACGGAGGAUGCGAGCGUUAUCCGGAUUUAUUGGGUUUAAAGGGAGCGUAGGCCGGUCUUUAAGCGUGCCGUGAAAUUUUGUGGCUCAACCAUGAGAGUGCGGCGCGAACUGGAGACCUUGAGUGCGCGGAAGGCAGGCGGAAUUCGUGGUGUAGCGGUGAAAUGCUUAGAUAUCACGAAGAACCCCGAUUGCGAAGGCAGCCUGCCGCAGCGUUACUGACGCUGAAGCACGAGAGCGUGGGUAGCGAACAGG
Molecule: ribosomal RNA, 253 nt
Filed under: uncultured Prevotella sp.
Lineage: Bacteria; Pseudomonadati; Bacteroidota; Bacteroidia; Bacteroidales; Prevotellaceae
Description: partial 16S ribosomal RNA
Rfam family: Bacterial small subunit ribosomal RNA
Source: RNAcentral